AACUUUGACUUUGCUGUUUGACAAUUGAAUCGGAAGAAAGAGAAACGUGGACGGCGGAGUCCUUGCGGAUCGCACUCGUUUAUAUGUGAAUGUUAAAGUGUGCGGUCGAUGAGAUACUCUGGCGGUCACGUAUCUAAGUUCAUCGUGUUUGCGAUUCUCUUGGGCGUAAGCUCUUGGGAUUGCAGGCAGGUGUGCUUGGGACUCGUCAUAGAGAAAGUGACCAGCCAGUACCAAAUUCUCAUUCAACUUGAGAGUUUGAUCCUGGCUCAGAACGAACGCUGGCGGCAGGCCUAACACAUGCAAGUCGAACGCCGUAGCAAUACGGAGUGGCAGACGGGUGAGUAACGCGUGGGAACAUACCCCUCGGUUCGGAAUAACUCAGGGAAACUUGAGCUAAUACCGGAUACGUCCGAGGUUUUAAUCGACCUUGGAGAAAGAUUUAUCGCCGGAGGAUUGGCCCGCGUCUGAUUAGCUUGUUGGUGAGGUAAUGGCUCACCAAGGCGACGAUCAGUAGCUGGUCUGAGAGGAUGAUCAGCCACAUUGGGACUGAGACACGGCCCAAACUCCUACGGGAGGCAGCAGUGGGGAAUAUUGGACAAUGGGCGAAAGCCUGAUCCAGCCAUGCCGCGUGAGUGAUGAAGGCCUUAGGGUUGUAAAGCUCUUUUACCCGGGAAGA
Molecule: ribosomal RNA, 676 nt
Filed under: Beijerinckiaceae bacterium
Lineage: Bacteria; Pseudomonadati; Pseudomonadota; Alphaproteobacteria; Hyphomicrobiales; Beijerinckiaceae
Description: bacterial SSU rRNA
Rfam family: Bacterial small subunit ribosomal RNA (bases 244-676)
Source: RNAcentral